UACGUAGGGGGCGAGCGUUGUCCGGAGUUACUGGGCGUAAAGGGCAUGCAGGCGGUCGGACGCGUUUCGGGUGACAGCGGGUGGCUUAACUACCCGAGUGGUCGAAAGACGGUUUGACUUGAGGACGCGAGAGGGACACGGAAUUCCGGGUGGAGUGGUGAAAUGCGUAGAGAUCCGGAGGAACACCGAAGGCGAAGGCAGCGUCCUGGCGCGUAACUGACGCUGAGGUGCGAAAGCCAGGGGAGCGAACGGG
RNAcentral lists this ribosomal RNA (253 nucleotides) under uncultured bacterium. RNAcentral's name for it is "partial 16S ribosomal RNA". It matches the Rfam family "Bacterial small subunit ribosomal RNA", at positions 524 to 776 of the family's 1533-position model. The record is from RNAcentral.